CUCUCUCUCUCUCUUUCCUGCAGUGUGUUUUAUUGCAGUCUUGCUGGGCGUGGAUCAUGUGAGCAGCCAAUCACAGGUCAGCAGGAGGGCGGGGCUCUGGUCUCAUCAUCACAAUAAAAAGCAGAAGGAAACACCAGCAGACACUGUUUGCUUUCCUUCACGUUUUCAUUGGUCCUGCAGACAAAUCUGCUUGUGCUGCAGUGAAUGAAUCUGAAUGAAGACGCUGCCGCACCGAGCAUUCAAUAUCUGUGAUCAAUACAUGGAUCUGCAGCAGCGGUUCAGCUCAAUCAGGCGCUCGUUCUCCUGUGUGCAGCGUUUCAUUGAGCCGCCAGUGAUUCAUAAAUCCUGCAUGCGCUGGUGUCGUCUGCUGUGAGCCGAGAUGAAGGAUUGGAGGAGCUGCUUUUGUAAGGGAUUCUCCGGCUCAAACAGCUGCACGAGUCCCUGCCGCAGAAAUGCUUGUUAGGGCAGAAUCCAGCCGGAGCUCCAGGGAGCAUCCAGACACAGUGACUAUUCAUAACUGUAAUGGCGAUCAACCACGUCGACAAAAAACAGCCAGCCGAGCGGAGCGGGAGAUGUGCUGAAAACACACAUUUAUGGGGAAUACUUACUGUAUCAAAACUCGAAACGCUGUCCAAAAGCAUCAUUCUAGACCAUUGCACACAGACAAUGCAUCACGUCAAGAGGUUUACUGUAGUAGUGUACUCUAGAACAACAACAAGACAGGCUAAAGUCACUCCGAGAGACGAAAACCACAGUAGACGAGUCUAUGAGCAACGCCAAUCCACGAACACACCACUCGCCCCUCAGAGAAAACUGCCAGAUAAACCCAGCGCCAACAUCCUCACUGCCCACGAAAACACACCAAACUGCUGCUUUCACUGCGUUUGGCAUUACAAGACCACCAGUUUCAGACCAGCAUGUGGAGGAUUAGAAAUACUGCAGUGAUUACACAAUCAGAAUGAAUGUAUGGAUGACAUAAAGAGAUACGGAUAAGAUGAAAAAUAAAAGGGAAAUCCUGGGA
Molecule: non-coding RNA, 1021 nt
Organism: Danio rerio (zebrafish)
Lineage: Eukaryota; Metazoa; Chordata; Actinopteri; Cypriniformes; Danionidae
Source: RefSeq, a predicted model, not a curated record